UACGGAGGGUGCAAGCGUUAUCCGGAUUUACUGGGUUUAAAGGGUGCGUAGGUGGGCAAGUAAGUCAGUGGUGAAAUCUCCGGGCUUAACCCGGAAACUGCCAUUGAUACUAUUUGUCUUGAAUACUGUGGAGGUCAGCGGAAUAUGUCAUGUAGCGGUGAAAUGCUUAGAUAUGACAUAGAACACCAAUUGCGAAGGCAGCUGGCUACACAAAUAUUGACACUGAGGCACGAAAGCGUGGGAUCAAACAGG
This 252-nucleotide ribosomal RNA is filed under the name uncultured bacterium. RNAcentral's name for it is "partial 16S ribosomal RNA". It matches the Rfam family "Bacterial small subunit ribosomal RNA", at positions 524 to 776 of the family's 1533-position model. The record is from RNAcentral.